CUAGUCUAGCUCAGCUGGUAGAGCGCCUGCUUUGCACGCGGAGGUCAGGAGUUCGAGUUCGUCUCCCGAACUUAGCUA
RNAcentral lists this transfer RNA (78 nucleotides) under Klebsiella pneumoniae. Its description in RNAcentral is "tRNA-Ala". The record is from RNAcentral. Lineage: Bacteria; Pseudomonadati; Pseudomonadota; Gammaproteobacteria; Enterobacterales; Enterobacteriaceae.